This 87-nucleotide transfer RNA is filed under the name Burkholderia singularis. RNAcentral's name for it is "tRNA-Tyr". It matches the Rfam family "tRNA". Rfam says of the family: Transfer RNA (tRNA) molecules are approximately 80 nucleotides in length. Their secondary structure includes four short double-helical elements and three loops (D, anti-codon, and T loops). Further hydrogen bonds mediate the characteristic L-shaped molecular structure. tRNAs have two regions of fundamental functional importance: the anti-codon, which is responsible for specific mRNA codon recognition, and the 3' end, to which the tRNAs corresponding amino acid is attached (by aminoacyl-tRNA synthetases). tRNAs cope with the degeneracy of the genetic code in two manners: having more than one tRNA (with a specific anti-codon) for a particular amino acid; and 'wobble' base-pairing, i.e. permitting non-standard base-pairing at the 3rd anti-codon position. Lineage: Bacteria; Pseudomonadati; Pseudomonadota; Betaproteobacteria; Burkholderiales; Burkholderiaceae. The record is from RNAcentral.
GGAUCGUGAGCAGCAUUGGUGACUGCAACGGACUGUAAAUCCGUCGCCCCUCGGGGCAGCUAGGUUCGAAUCCUAGACGAUCCACCA